UGUGCGGCAUACAAGCCAAGCAGGGGCGAAAGCCGGGCCAAGUGAUCCCACGGUUCCGAGUGGAAGGGCCGUGGCUUAACGGAUAAAAGCUACCCCGGGGAUAACAGGCUAAUCUUACCCAAGAGUUCCUAUCGACGGUAAGGUUUGGCACCUCGAUGUCGACUCGUCACAUCCUGGGGCUGUAGGCGGUCCCAAGGGUUGGGCUGUUCGCCCAUUAAAGUGGUACGUGAGUUGGGUUCAGAACGUCGUGAGACAGUUCGGUCUCUAUCUGCCGUGGGCGUAGGAGUCUUGCGGGGACAUCUCCCUAGUACGAGAGGACCGGGAGGUACGAUCCUCUGGUGUUCCGGUGGUCCUGCCAAGGGCCCCGCCGGGUAGCUAUGAUCGGCCAGGAGAAGUGCUGAAGGCAUCUAAGCGCGAAACCAGCCCCAAGAUAAGGACUCCCAUUUAUUAUGAAGUAAGGUCACAGGUAGACUACCUGAUUAGAGGACGGAGGUGGAAGACGGGUAACCGUUGCAGCUGACCGUUUCUCAUAGACCGAGGCCUUCCCCACA
RNAcentral lists this ribosomal RNA (551 nucleotides) under Chloroflexota bacterium. RNAcentral's name for it is "bacterial LSU rRNA". It matches the Rfam family "Bacterial large subunit ribosomal RNA", at positions 2374 to 2925 of the family's 2925-position model. Lineage: Bacteria; Bacillati; Chloroflexota. The record is from RNAcentral.